AGGCGAUACCUACAGACACAGACCACAAAUGUGGGUAAAAAGCAAAAGUGAGCAGGAGGCGACUCACGGCGACUAAAAACCAGAGGAGCGGCAUUUUUAAAUUCUAGGUAAUUCCACUUGGACCUGCGGAAUUUGGUUGCAACAGUGACCCAUACAGGAAACAUGUUUUAUGGGAAAAAGGAAGUCAUGCCAUGAGGGUGCCCAGCCAGGAUUUAAACAGAAUGGCGCAGUUAUGUGGCAUGCAUGACAACCCACUAAAACUAGCGUGACAACCCUUGGCCGGGUUUCAAAAUUUGGUGUGAAGUGGGUCACACUCCGAGGAAGGCAAAGGACGUUACGUUGAAUGUUUAAAUGGCCACAGUUUGGUCCCCAGUGGCCUUGUGUUGGAAAAAUCAUCAGACUUGAUGAGGACCUGACCUCUGGGGCUGUGCUGGUUUCCAAAACAUAGCAGCAGGACAUCCAGACCAUAUCAGAUUAGUCUUUAGAAGUGCCAGAGAAAGAGUUUCGAGAGAUAUGAAUAAAACUGGCUUCUGAUGUUUUGAAGUGUCUAAAAUA
Nothobranchius furzeri (turquoise killifish) is the source of this 555-nucleotide long non-coding RNA. RefSeq lists it as uncharacterized. The record is from RefSeq and is a predicted model, not a curated record. NCBI's taxonomy places the organism in Eukaryota, Metazoa, Chordata, Actinopteri, Cyprinodontiformes, Nothobranchiidae.